CUAGUUCUACAUGUCAGGUUUGUGGAAAUGAUUCCUGUGUAAAAAGAUUAAAAAAAAAAAAAGAAGAAGUGGAGCCAUAAUGCAAAGAAAGUGGGGGAAAUCUCAUCAAAUGAUCUCUCAGUAAAAGGGCACCCAGUUCACUGUGGAAGAGGGAUGGUGAGAGAGAAUGCUUGUAUAUUUCCCAACUGUGAAGAGAAUGCUUUAUGAGGAAAUGGCUGUUUUUUGUCAUCACUUGCUGGGCUAGAUCAGGUCCUCUUCUAUGACUUUUUAAAGACCUCUGUUCACACAGCUGCUUUGGCAAGUCAGGAAUCAAACUGACAGCCCAUUGGAAAGGCAUACCCUGUCACAAGUCUAAAGAGAAACAGAGUGACAGUUCCCAGGCUCAAGUGCAAGGCGCGCCGCUCAAUCUUCUUUGGCUGGCUAGGAUCUUGGUUGAUGCAGGGCGCCGAUGCCAGACAGCAGAGGGCCUGGAGUAACAAAAACAACGCCCCGCAAGUGUGAUAUGGAUCAAUGUUGGGCUCUGCUCCACGUCGUCACUCAGGGAGCCUGGCUUAUUCCCUUGUGUCACUCCACUAUCUUCUGGGACUUUGUUUCCCUCUGCAUUCAGCUACACAUAUGGGGAAAGUGAGAAAAUGUGGAGAAAGCAUACCCACUCUUAACUGCAUUCCCCGGAGGUGAUGCAGGUCACUUCUAUUUACAUUUCAUUGGCUGGAACUCAGUCCAGUGAUUCCUUCUAACUGCGGGGGAGGCUGGGAAAUGUAGUUUGGUGGUGGGACCAGAAGAAGCAGAGAGCUCUCUGCCACAAUGUGCAAUCAUUUUCAAAUAAAUAUAAAGAAAUAAAAUGGGCUUGAUGC
RNAcentral lists this long non-coding RNA (854 nucleotides) under Equus asinus (donkey). RNAcentral describes it as "lncRNA (ENSEASG00005031058.1)". Lineage: Eukaryota; Metazoa; Chordata; Mammalia; Perissodactyla; Equidae. The record is from RNAcentral.